RNAcentral lists this non-coding RNA (22 nucleotides) under Arabidopsis thaliana (thale cress). The record is from RNAcentral. Lineage: Eukaryota; Viridiplantae; Streptophyta; Magnoliopsida; Brassicales; Brassicaceae.
GAAACAAUCGAGGUGCAUAUGU